This 781-nucleotide ribosomal RNA is filed under the name Pectiniunguis argentinensis. RNAcentral describes it as "eukaryotic LSU rRNA". The stretch from base 648 to 781 matches the Rfam family "Eukaryotic large subunit ribosomal RNA", at positions 813 to 946 of the family's 3401-position model. Lineage: Eukaryota; Metazoa; Arthropoda; Chilopoda; Geophilomorpha; Schendylidae. The record is from RNAcentral.
GCGAGUCUUUGGGUCUGCCACGUAGCAGCUAAACCCGAACACGGCGCAAUGAAAGUAAAGGCACGUCCGCAACGCGCGGAGGGUUUAAACUCGCGUGGGUUUUUAACUCGCGCGGGGGGCCCUCUCGUCGCCUGCGACGGCUGAGGCGGGAUCCUCGUGGCGUAGAAAUGUAAAACACACGAGCUUAGCGGUGAGCUUCCUCCCUUUUGCCCGACACCCGUCGCUUCCGGCGGCGGUGAGGGUUUGGGGGGCGGCGUUUGGAGCCGCGGCCGCGUCACUUAACCGGGCACGUUUGACACGGUUUUCGGCGGACGUUCCCCCACUUCCCGCAAGGAACGGGCGCUCUUCGUUUCCCUCUUUUAACGUCGCUCGCACGCCACUAGAGCGGCGGAGGGUUUCAAAAAGGAGAUGUCUCGCUCGGGGGUGAUUGCUUGACACGGGGCACAAACGCGUCCGAUUUCCGACGGCCCGGAGGCGCACCGCCGGCCCGCUUUGACCGCCCUCGGUGUUCUUCUCCUGCGUCCAGCGGCCCUUUUUCCGCCUCCCUUUUUCCCUCCCUCACGGGGGGGUCGGGGUCGUCGGUUGGGGUGACAAGCAGCGCAGGAAGCCCGAAAGUCGGUGAAGCGGAGCAAGAGCACACACGUUGGGACCCGAAAGAUGGUGAACUAUGCCCGGGCAGGACGAGGCCAGAGGAAACUCUGGUGGAGGUCCGUAGCGAUUCUGACGUGCAAAUCGAUCGUCGGACAUGGGUAUAGGGGCGAAAGACUAAUCGAACCAUCUA